Molecule: unclassified non-coding RNA, 240 nt
Filed under: soil metagenome
Description: partial contains 5.8S ribosomal RNA, internal transcribed spacer 2, and large subunit ribosomal RNA
Source: RNAcentral
AACCUAGCACACCUGCGGUGUGUACCUGCGGAGGGAUCAUUACCGAGUUAUACAACUCCCAAACCCACUGUGAACCUUACCUCAGUUGCCUCGGCGGGAACGCCCCGGCCGCCUGCCCCCGCGCCGGCGCCGGACCCAGGCGCCCGCCGCAGGGACCCCAAACUCUCUUGCAUUACGCCCAGCGGGCGGAAUUUCUUCUCUGAGUUGCACAAGCAAAAACAAAUGAAUCAAAACUUUUAA